AUUAUGCACUCGAGCGGACACACGGGAGCUUGCUCCCUGAUGUUAGCGGCGGACGGGUGAUUAACACGUGGGUAACCUGCCUGUAAGACUGGGAUAACUCCGGGAAACCGGGGCUAAUACCGGAUGGUUGUUUGAACCGCAUGGUUCAAACAUAAAAGGUGGCUUCGGCUACCACUUACAGAUGGACCCGCGGCGCAUUAGCUAGUUGGUGAGGUAACGGCUCACCACGGCCCGAUGCGUCCCGACCUAGAGGGUGAUCGGCCACACUGGGACUGAGAACCGGCCCAGACUCCUACGGGAGCCACCCCCCGGAAUCCUCCGCAUUGGACCAAAGUCAUCGACGGAGCAACGCCGCGUGAGUGAUGAAGGCUUUCGGAUCGUAAAGGCUCUGUUGUUAGGGAAGAACCAGUACCGUUCAAAUAGGCUGGUACACUGACCGCACCUAACCAGAAAGCCACGGCUAACGACGCGCACGCACCCGCGGAAUACGUAGGUGGCAGCGUUGUUCUGAUUAUUGGGCGUAAAGGGCUUGCAGCGGUUUCUUAAGUCUGAUGUGAAAGCCCCGGCUCAACCGGGAGGUCAUUGGAAACUGGGGAACUUGAGUGCAGAAGAGGAGAGUGGAAUUCCACGUGUAGCGGUGAAAUGCGUAGAGAUGUGGAGGAACACCAGUGGCGAAGGCGACUCUCUGGUCUGUAACUGACGCUGAGGAGCGAAAGCGUGGGGAGCGAACAGGAUUAGAUACCCUGGUAGUCCACGCCGUAAACGAUGAGUGCUAAGUGUUAGGGGGUUUCCGCCCCUUAGUGCUGCAGCUAACGCAUUAAGCACUCCGCCUGGGGAGUACGGUCGCAAGACUGAAACUCAAAGGAAUUGACGGGGGCCCGCACAAGCGGUGGAGCAUGUGGUUUAAUUCGAAGCAACGCGAAGAACCUUACCAGGUCUUGACAUCCUCUGACAAUCCUAGAGAUAGGACGUCCCCUUCGGGGGCAGAGUGACAGGUGGUGCAUGGUUGUCGUCAGCUCGUGUCGUGAGAUGUUGGGUUAAGUCCCGCAACGAGCGCAACCCUUGAUUUUAGUUGCCAGCAUUCAGUUGGGCACUUUAAGGUGACUGCCGGUGACAAACCGGAGGAAGGUGGGGAUGACGUCAAAUCAUCAUGCCCCUUAUGACCUGGGGUACACACGUGGUACAAUGGACAGAACAAAGGGCAGGGAAACCGCGAGGUUAAGCCAAUCCCACAAAUCUGUUUUCAGUUCGGAUUGCAGUUUGCAACUUGAAUGCGUGAAGGUGGAAUCGCUUGUAAUUGCGGAUCAGCAUGCCGCGGUGAAUACGUUUCCGGGCCUUGUACACACCGCCCGUCACACCCCGAGAGUUUGUAACACCCGAAGUCGGUGAGGUAACCUUUUAGGAGCCAGCCGCCGAAGGUGGGACAGAUGAUUGGGGGAAGUCGAACAAGUGCAUGGU
Molecule: ribosomal RNA, 1458 nt
Filed under: Bacillus sp. (in: firmicutes)
Lineage: Bacteria; Bacillati; Bacillota; Bacilli; Caryophanales; Bacillaceae
Description: bacterial SSU rRNA
Rfam family: Bacterial small subunit ribosomal RNA
Source: RNAcentral